RNAcentral lists this small RNA (127 nucleotides) under Marmota monax (woodchuck). The record is from RNAcentral. Lineage: Eukaryota; Metazoa; Chordata; Mammalia; Rodentia; Sciuridae.
GCCAGGAGCAGUGGUGCACGCCUGUAAUCCCAGCAGCUUGGGAGGCUGAGGCAGGAGAAUCACAAGUUCAAAGCCAACCGCAGCAACUUAGUGAGUCCCUAAGCAACUUAUUGAGACCCUGUCUCAA